CUUGCUGUCAAUUCUUUGUGUCUCUUGUCCCUUCAUUCACCAUUCCCGCUUCUAGGGUCUCUGCUGAAGAUCCCGCUGGCCGUGACAGUUGCCCACUACCAUUUGCAUUUGGCAGAAUGAAGAUAGGCCAAGGAGACCAAGACCCUUGUAGUGCACAGCACAGAAGACUUCAGGGUGCCCUGAACUGAAGUGCUUGCGAGUGACUCAUCAGAAACAAGAUCUCCUAUGUGACUGGUUUUCUGCAUUUCUCACAUCAACAUUGCAGAGUGCAAUUCAUUUUUUGGCUUUUUCUGGUUGUUCCUAAAUUGGAAGUUGGCUGGGAAUAGAAGGUUUCAGAGCCUGCAAACCCAAUAACGUAGGGAUAAAAGAAGACAGAAAAAUAAAUGAUACUGUUUCCGAGGUAUUAAAUAUAAGCCUGGCUAUCGGAGCAGCAUAGCAGUCACGAAUCGUAAUCAGGAGUGAAAAUAAAGACAGUUUAUGAGGAGAGAGAAAGACACUCUUAAGAAGGAGAAUAAGAUCAUGGACAGUGGGAACCUGCACUCUGAAUCCCAGUUUGAAAUCCCAACAGAUCAUUGACUAGAAAAUUUUAUGUGAAGUUGUGGAGUCUGGAAUGACUAUUUUAUGAAUAUAAAAUAUCGUUCUUUAGAUCUAUCUCCGGAAAUAAUCAUUAUAAACAGAAGUGUCAAAAUGGCAAUAUGAAAUAUGACCACCUUUAAAUGUAUCAACAAAAUGUCAAGAAAAAACAAAUGAGGCCUUAAUGGUAAACGUUUUGGCAGACUCCACAUUUACUCUAGAAAUGCUUUCGCUUAGAAUAUUUGCAAUUUCUAUUUUUUUUUUAGCCAUCUCUGUUAGUCAUCUGUGAAACACCUUGUUCUAUAGUUACACCAUACUUUCAGAUCAAAAGAAAUCAUCAAGCCUGACAUUAAAUGUAUUUACCAAGAUUAAA
Long non-coding RNA from Peromyscus leucopus (white-footed mouse), 946 nucleotides. RefSeq lists it as uncharacterized. Lineage: Eukaryota; Metazoa; Chordata; Mammalia; Rodentia; Cricetidae. The transcript is spliced from 3 exons. The record is from RefSeq and is a predicted model, not a curated record.